RNAcentral lists this long non-coding RNA (4653 nucleotides) under Malus domestica (apple). RNAcentral's name for it is "long non-coding RNA (MDOM_LNC006536)". The record is from RNAcentral. Lineage: Eukaryota; Viridiplantae; Streptophyta; Magnoliopsida; Rosales; Rosaceae.
CCGUUUCGACCAAACAUUUCCGGUUCAACAUAAUUGCGACGCAACUAAAAUUCAUGCCAAAUUUAGCAAUGGGAUUCUUACCAUUACAAUACCAAAGAAAUUCAUCACAUGGACUGCAACAGCCGAACCUGUUGCAACCACGGUCAAGCCGAAGCCACACAAAGUUCAAGAGGACCCAAUUCCUUCAAAGCCGAGUUUGACAACACCGGCAGGCCCUCCGACAGACACCUCUUCGGAUACAAAGGGUCGGGAAGUUAUUUCUCAAACAGCUGCUGAUUCUGCUCAAGGUGAACAACAAAGGGGCAAGACAAGUGCUCAGGAAGCUGCUGCUGCUGCCGCGUUGAAGACAGAAAAGGCUACUUUCACUGCCAGAGAUGAAAAAGAAAUGGAUGACAAGAAUGGUCGUCCACCAUUAGCUCCUCCGAAAGGCACUGCAGCUGAGACAAAAGCACAAGAGGAUAAGGAGGUUGAGAAGAGGUUGAUACCGUUGACUAGUCCGGAAACAAGCAAAGCCGAGACUAAGUCUGAAGAGGGUGGUCAGGAUGGAAAGAGAGGAAAGGCUUCUGUCGAGAGUGUUUAUCGAACGGGGGUUGAAAACAAGGAUCAGAAAAAAGCAAAAGGGAAGGCUGAAGAUGAAGGUUCUAUUGCCGCACAUGUGAUGGCUGCUGCAAAUGAGGGUAUGAAAAAUCUCGGAAGCAGGAUGAAUGAUGAAGAGAAGAAGAUGUUGAUCAAUAUGGGUGCAGCGAUUCUAGUUCUUAUCGCACUAGGUGCUUCUGCAUCCUACAGUCUGUAGUCCUCUGGGAAAGGCAAAAACUAAGGCCGUCAUAUUUUCACAUUCCAUUACAAAUCUUUUAUUAGAUACUACACAAACACAUAAACAAGUAUUACAGCUUUUACAUUCAUUUUACCACCUCAGAUUUGAGAUCUAUUACAAUCUCAUACAACAUCUUCAAAAAAAAAUUCUUUUAUAUUUCACGUACUAUUUUAUUUCAAUAUAAUACAUCCGUUAUAUUUUCCCGUUAAAAAUUGAUGUGGCUGCCAAAUUUGUGCAAAAAUAAUAAUUUUUUAUGCAUUAAAAAUAUUAUAAUAUUGAUCCUAUUAUAAAAAAUUAAAAACAAAAAACACCAACCUAGAAACCCAUCCCCCGACCCUUCUCCCUCUCCUUCACUCUCUUCACCUCCCAUCCCUUCUCUCUCCCCAGAGACCCACCAACUCAUCCAUCCUCGUUCGUCGUCUGUCCCAUUUUCCCCUUCCAUUUGUUCCCCUCCUCUCCCUUCCCAACCAAAACCACAACCCACUCCCCACUGCCAACCCGAUCCGACCCGUUUCAACUCAUCCCGAACCUCUCCACCUUCACCUCUCUGGUCCUAUUCGACCCGCCCACAACGAGGAUAAUCCUAAUCUCGCGGCCAAACAACUGUUGCUCAACCUCUUCAGGUUGUCUGCGCCCAUUAUUCUUGAAUCUGGUUUAUAUUUUCCAGUUUUUUUUUUUUUUUGUUGGGUUUCUACCGAAUGGGGUUUUUUAUUUGGGUUGUUUGAUUUGGGGUUUUUGAUAUAGGUUUGAUUUGGACUCUUACCUUCACCGGCCUCCAUUUAUUUUAUUUUUUUAAUUUUUUUUCGGGAUUAGGGUUGGGUGCAUGUUGAUAUGGGGAGAGACAAGGGAGGGGAGGUGAAGAGAGUGGAGGAGAGGGAGAAGGUAAGACAUAGGUGGGUGGGCGGCCUGCGGUGGAGUUGAGGGGGAGGGGGGAGUUGCUGGGGAGGUGGGUAUGGGGUGGGGUGGGGUGGUGGCUUACGGGGGAGUUGGGAGUGGAUGGGUUUCUGGGUUGUUUUUUUUUUUUAAUUGGGUAAAUUAUUAUAAAAAUUAUUUUUUGGGUAAAUUACAUAGUAGUUCCUGAGGUUUGAGCUCUAUUACAACCCUAUACAACAUCUUUAAAACAUUUCACCUUAACCGCAGAAAAAAGAACCGGCGAGGGUCGCUGACUGUGCGGGGAGGCCGGCGAUGGUCCAUUUAGGAAUUUGCGGGUGUGGAUUGAGGGUUUUGGGGGUGGGAAAUGUGGGUUUUAGGGUGCAGAGAGAAAAGUUGGGGGGUUUGGAUUGUUGGACUUGAUCAGCCAGGGAGGGAGAAGACGGGAAGCAGCAGAGAAAUGCAGAGGGGGGGUUGCGGGUUUCUGGGUUUAUUGCGGGGUAGGGGGUUUCUGGGUUUGCUUGCGGGGUGGGGGGUUGCGGUUUUAGUUUUUUUUUUUUUUUUUUUUUUUUUUUUUUUUUUUUAGAAAAUUAAGGUUUAAAAAAAAGUUAGCACGUGGCAUCUAUUUGGCAGCCACGUGACAUAAAUGUGGUAGCCACGUCAGCACUUAACAGAUCAAUGGAUGAAAAAUGUAAUAGAAAUAUUAUUUUAAAAUAAAAUAAUACUCGAGGUAUGAAAGUGAAAUGUUUUAAAGAUGUUGUAUGGGGUUGUAAUAGACCUCAAACCUGAUAGGCUACUAUGUAAUUUAUCCUUUUUUUUGUCACGUGAUACAAAUUUGGCAGUCACAUCCGCGUGGAUCUUAUAUUUGUCAUGUCAUCACUUAACGGUUUACUUAAUACAUUUUUUAAAAAUUGACCCUACAUCUAAUGUAUGAAAUUGAAAUUGACCCUACACCUGAGGAAGUAAAAUGUAAUUUAUCCAAUUCACAAAGUUGUACAGUUGCCAUUAAUGAAAUCUCACUUCUUCUCGACACCACUCUUUAUACAUUAUUGUAAAUAAAAUUGUACAGUACCAAGACACAACGCCGAAGCACCGCGCGAACACUAUUACCAGUCUUUACUAAUUAAUCAUUUAUCAAUGAUCAUUUUUUGUUUUAGACCUAAGCAAUAAGAUAUUUUCUUUACUUUGAUUUAGGUCAAUGAAAAUGUGACAUGGUUUGAAGCCCACUUGGUUUGAAUGGGCCACCUUAUGUUGCCCGGCCCCAUGAAUUUUUCGUUUGCACAAUUGGUUCCUUCUCACCCUCCCACUACAGUCAGUACAGGGUCAAAUCCAAAGCCCACCCCAGGUUUCAAUUCGAUUCCUUCAUGCAGGCUUGCAGACUCUUCCCAUCCAAUACAAAUUGGGGUUGUCCAAUCUACACAUCAUUUUCAAUUUUCGGUAGUCGAAUCGAAUAAAUUAAAAAAAAUUAACAGACAAAAAUUAACAAGAACCGUGUGAGAAGUAAAAAUAAAUAUGUGAAUAGCACCAUUGAACACUAUUAACACAGAUUCAUGCAAAUGUGUUUAAGUAUGACCUAUGAAGCACAUAUACAGUGGCAUAAUACAAUAAAUUUGUAAAAAAUAGGAUAUGAUACGAUAUAAAAUCGCUUAUUAAAUUAUAUAUUAAUAAUAUAAAUUUUAUUGGAGGUUAACAAAAUAUCACUUGCCGAAAAUUAGAGCAGUUUACAAUAACGUCUUUGUAAAAAGAAAAUGAAAGAAGUGAGGAAGAUAAAACCCUAAUUGGUGGGUAAGGGCAACCAACCAACUUUAGUUUUAGUUUGCAGGUGAGGUUAUACCUCGUACAACACCAAGGGACGCUUGAAAUUGUAAAACACCACAAAGCCAAAGCAACCAAAAAGGAAUAUUGGAAGAGGAAUAGUCCCACUAAUAAGAAACCUCUACUCCCCAACCCCCCCCAUAUAAAUUGUCACGCAGGCCACCCAACAUUUCCUACAAGAAACCCAAAACCAAGCACCAAUAAUCCGGUCUUUAACAAAAGGCAGGCAAACAGGAGAGAGAAAGAGAAAGAGAGAGAGAGAGAGAUGUCUAUGGGACAUCGAGAGGGAGAGAUGCCUAUGACCCGCCCAAGACAAUCCCAUCGUCCCAUUUAUGAAGAUUUCCAGCCCCACUUUGAAUUGAAGGAAGAGCAGCAAGCUCACAUUGUACAAGUUCAUCUGCCUGGUCUCUUACUUUUCUCUUCCUACUUUCUUUCCUUACCUGACUCUCUACUCAUGUUGGGCGCUUGUAUGGAAUUGCUUCUUUAUAAAACAUUUUUGCUCAUUAGCACUUUUAGUAAAAGCGUUUUUAUUAGAAGCACGUCAAAAUUUUUUAUUAAAUUGCAAGUGCUUUUUUGAAUCCAAAAACACUUCUUAACUUUUUCUGCCAAACAUGAUCAUAACCGCUUUUGAUGAUUUGAAAGCGGUUUUUAGUUAUUUUAAAAUUAAUUGACUGUACCAAAUUACGUUGGUAUUAUAUUAACAAUCUACAUUAUUUUAUAGAGAGCGGGGAGAAUUCUCGACUCAUUGGACAACUGAACCGACCUAACUCACGCGUUGCAAAAUAUAUGGUUUAUUUUCAGGUUUUGUGAAGGAGCAGGCUAAGAUUACAUAUAUGCAUAACCCUGGUGUGAUUAGGGUUUAUGGACAAAGACCUCUCGACAACAACAAAUGGAGCCGUUUCGACCAAACAUUUCCGGUUCAACAUAAUUGCGACGCAACUAAAAUUCAUGCCAAAUUUAGCAAUGGGAUUCUUACCAUUACAAUACCAAAGAAAGUCAUCAUCACAUGGACUGCAACAGCCGAACCUGCUGCAAUCACGGUCAAGCCGAAGCCACACAAAGUUCAAGAGGACCCAAUUCCUUCAAAGCCGAGUUUGACAACACCGGCAGGCCCUCCGACAGACACCUCUUCGGAUACAAAGGGUCGGGAAGUU